RNAcentral lists this long non-coding RNA (518 nucleotides) under Zea mays. RNAcentral describes it as "long non-coding RNA (ZMAY_LNC003740)". The record is from RNAcentral. Lineage: Eukaryota; Viridiplantae; Streptophyta; Magnoliopsida; Poales; Poaceae.
UCAAGAACAACGCCGGCUUCCCGCACAACGUCGUCUUCGACGAAGACGAGGUGCCGAGCGGCGUCGACGCCACCAAGAUCUCGCAGGAGGAGUACCUCAACGCGCCAGGCGAGACCUACUCCGUCACCCUCACCGUGCCGGGAACCUACGGCUUCUACUGCGAGCCGCAUCAAGGAGCCGGAAUGGUCGGCAAGAUCACCGUCAACUAAUUAAGCUAGCUAUCGAUCGAUAUCCAUUCAUGUAUUAGCUGUUGCUUCCUGCUUUGUACUCCGCCGAUCUGUCCAUCUCUACAUGUUUUCGUCUUCACACAACAACCUCUGCUACGACUACGUAUAUAUGCAUGCUACUAGCUGAUUGAUUUUAACGACCAGGCCGACCCCGAAAGCUAGCUUGGACCAAGUUUUGUACCCAUUAAUUCUACCGAUGCAUCUCUCAGUUUAGACUCCCAUAAUCAUACAAACUGCUAGCUUUCAUCUGCAUCUGCUUAGUACAUCUAACUAUUUGUACCGCAAGGUGAC